AUGGAGAUCGAGGUUGCCGCCGACGCCGCCGCCGCAGCUGGCGAGGGGUCUAGCGAUCGCACUGACGGCCCUGAGGCCGCAGGAGCGCCAGGCGCUACGUCGACCGCCGACCCGUCCGCCGCUGCCGCAGUGCCAGGCUCCGAAGAGCCCCAGCCGGGCGUAUACUUGAAGGCCGGCGAUGGCGUCUUCAUCAACCUCCCCUGGGCGUCGAGCUCCAGGGCGCCGGUUGAAGGGGAGAGCUUCGACGGAGAGGUGCUCGCCUCCGCUGGGCUGACGCUGGUUGACGCGCCGAGCAGCAGCAGCGGCGAGCCUGAGGAGGAGCGGCUGCUGCGGAAGCUGUUGUCGCUCUACCGCGCGCGGCAAGCCAAGCUGGAAUCCCGCGAGGCGCUUGUCGCGAAGGCGGGAGUGGACAUCGAGAAGCACGCGGAGGAGCUCCGGAGUCUCAACCAGGAAGCUCUCCGGUCUCUGGCAGAGGAGCGGGAGCAACUCGCCGAAGUGCAGAAGGCCUUCUUCCUCGAGAAGGCCGAAGUUGAAGAGCAACAGCGGCUUGCCGCUGGAAAGCUGUCUGCGCAGGAGGGCGAGCUGGCGCAGCGGAAAGUCAACCUUGACGCCCACGAGGAGGAGCUUGCCGCGCGUGAGCAACAAUUCGGCGGAGCCCUUAAGCAAGCAGAGGAUGCUGCCGCAGUUGCCGAGGCUGCCAAGAAGGAGCUGGAGACGAAGGUGGCGCAGCUGGAGGCCGAUCUCGCCGAGAAGGGCAAAGAGCUUAGCGCCGCCAAGGACUCCAACGCGGAUCUUGAGUUGAAGCUGACCACUUUGACCAAGACGCUGGACGGCGCCAAGGAGCAGGAGGUGGCCUUGAAGGAGGAGAUCAAGGCCGACAAGGCGCUGUUGGAAACUGCUGCCGCCGCCCAGAAUGCUUUCAGGGAGAAUGUGGAGCACUGGACGGAGGGUCUCGUGAAUGUUGCCGCAGACAUUGACAGGGAGCUGGCGCAACUGGGGAUGGAGGAUCUCGGGUAUCCCUCCGACGAGAACCUCCAACCCAGCGUCAAGCUCAUCUUGUUCUUCAAAGGCAUGGCGACGGCCCUCCAACGGCUCCGGGAGAAGAUCCCAAAGCAGCUGGCCGACGAGUCGCGCAAGAUCUGCGCGGGAGCUCUUCAAAAAGUAUUGGUGAAGGUGGCCUUCCGCAAUCCGGGCCUCAACCUCACCAACGUCCUCAUGACCCUGCCGCCGGAUGUUGAUCUGGAGGCGCUCAAGACCCUUGUCGCACCCAUUGUGGACAAGGUGAGCGGGAUCAAGAGGAUCGAGGGCGAUCGCGUAGACUAG
RNAcentral lists this ribosomal RNA (1323 nucleotides) under Triticum aestivum (bread wheat). Its description in RNAcentral is "partial small subunit ribosomal RNA". The record is from RNAcentral. Lineage: Eukaryota; Viridiplantae; Streptophyta; Magnoliopsida; Poales; Poaceae.